This 1011-nucleotide long non-coding RNA is filed under the name Anas platyrhynchos platyrhynchos (common mallard). RNAcentral's name for it is "lncRNA (ENSAPLG00000022562.1)". The record is from RNAcentral. Lineage: Eukaryota; Metazoa; Chordata; Aves; Anseriformes; Anatidae.
AGUAAUGAGAAAAAAAGUUUGGAAAAGCCAUCCGGCCCCUCCUCUUCACAGCUUUGGGUAAAAUUUAGCUCCCAAGGGUUGAACCCAACCCCUUCCUUCAGCAGGGAACCCCCCGCCGGUCCUUUUGGAGCACUUGGGUACCAGGUGGGAAGCCCCAGCUCCGCUGGAUUGGCGCCUGCACACCUGAAGGGGACAGGAAUCAGAGAAAUAAAAGGAGAAAAGUCACCCGAGUGGAAAGAGCAGCAGCAAGCCGGGAGGAGUUUCUUCCCCCUUAUUCCUCCCGAAGGAAGAGCAGCUGGCCCAGAGCGCAGGCAAAUCGCUUUGGCCCCCCUGACCCCGGCAAUCUCCCUCCCCUGUGCUCAAAACCCGAAAUCCCACCGCAGGGCUGCGGUGCCAGCUGCAAGGAGCGGGGCAGGAAACAGAGCCGGCAGCUGCUGCAGCACAGCCCCAGGUCACCGGCUCCGCUCAAAUCCUCAGGCUGACACCGAACCUUUUUGCAGGACGGCUAACAGGUGCAAAAUUCAGGGAUUUGACAGCCUGGCUUUUGGAAACCCUAGCUGGAAAAGCCAUCAGCCUGCUGUGCUCGCCUCGAGGUGUUUCUCCGAGUUACGGCCACCAGAAGGUGCGGAGGCACCGCGGCCCCAGCAGCAGCUGCGCAGCGGAAGCCAGCCGCGCGCUGCAAUUAAACAGACGACCUUUCACAGCCUUCGCUAAUUGUCUGCAGGCAAAGGGAAGCACUGUCCAGUUAAGGAAGUUGGAAGGCUCCGGGAAAAGCUCAGGGAGUUCAGAAGGCUGCUGAUGAGCGGAUUAUGUUACUGCUGGUUCUUAGACUUCCUUCCAUAGGGACACUUACAGAUAUAUUGCAGCCUGCACGGAAAAGCCACGCGCUCGUCAGACCGGCCAGCGUUUAGACCCUAGAUCUAAAACUCAGAAAAAGGGAUAGAAAGGCUGAGGCAAAGUCCCGUACAGCGUCACGGCGCAGGGGCUAAUAAAUCUACCUUGGAGUUUCCA